RNAcentral lists this ribosomal RNA (527 nucleotides) under uncultured rumen archaeon. Its description in RNAcentral is "bacterial SSU rRNA". It matches the Rfam family "Archaeal small subunit ribosomal RNA", at positions 137 to 664 of the family's 1478-position model. The record is from RNAcentral.
AAACUGAGGAUAAUACUGGAUAGGCAAUUAUUCCUGGAAUGGAUUUUUGUUUAAAUGUUUUUUCGCCUAAGGAUGGGUCUGCGGCCGAUUAGGUAGUUGGUUAGGUAACGGCUUACCAAGCCAUUGAUCGGUACGGGUUGUGAGAGCAAGAGCCCGGAGAUGGAACCUGAGACAAGGUUCCAGGCCCUACGGGGUGCAGCAGGCGCGAAACCUCCGCAAUGUGAGAAAUCGCGACGGGGGGAUCCCAAGUGCCAUUCUUAACGGGAUGGCUUUUCAUUAGUGUAAAGAGCUUUUGGAAUAAGGGCUGGGCAAGACCGGUGCCAGCCGCCGCGGUAACACCGGCAGCUCUAGUGGUAGCAGUUUUUAUUGGGCCUAAAGCGUCCGUAGCCGGUUUAAUAAGUCUCUGGUGAAAUCCUGUAGCUUAACUGUGGGAAUUGCUGGAGAUACUAUUAGACUUGAGACCGGGAGAGGUUAGAGGUACUCCCAGGGUAGAGGUGAAAUUCUGUAAUCCUGNGAGGACCGCCUGU